This 558-nucleotide ribosomal RNA is filed under the name uncultured bacterium. RNAcentral's name for it is "partial 16S ribosomal RNA". It matches the Rfam family "Bacterial small subunit ribosomal RNA", at positions 355 to 927 of the family's 1533-position model. The record is from RNAcentral.
UGGGGAAUAUUGGACAAUGGGCGAAAGCCUGAUCCAGCAAUGCCGCGUGAGUGAUGAAGGCCCUAGGGUUGUAAAGCUCUUUUACCCGGGAUGAUAAUGACAGUACCGGGAGAAUAAGCCCCGGCUAACUCCGUGCCAGCAGCCGCGGUAAUACGGAGGGGGCUAGCGUUGUUCGGAAUUACUGGGCGUAAAGCGCACGUAGGCGGUUGCUCAAGUCAGAGGUGAAAGCCCGGAGCUUAACUCCGGAAUUGCCUUUGAAACUAGGUAACUUGAAUCCAGGAGAGGUGAGUGGAAUUCCGAGUGUAGAGGUGAAAUUCGUAGAUAUUCGGAAGAACACCAGUGGCGAAGGCGGCUCACUGGACUGGUAUUGACGCUGAGGUGCGAAAGCGUGGGGAGCAAACAGGAUUAGGUACCCUGGUAGUCCACGCCGUAAAACGAUGAUAACUAGCUGUCCGGGCACUUGGUGCUUGGGUGGCGCAGCUAACGCAUUAAAGUUAUCCGCCUGGGGAGUACGGCCGCAAGGUUAAAAACUUAAAUGAAUUGACGGGGUCAUGAGCU